RNAcentral lists this ribosomal RNA (445 nucleotides) under uncultured bacterium. Its description in RNAcentral is "bacterial SSU rRNA". It matches the Rfam family "Bacterial small subunit ribosomal RNA", at positions 354 to 796 of the family's 1533-position model. The record is from RNAcentral.
GUGAGGAAUAUUGCGCAAUGGAGGCAACUCUGACGCAGCCAUGCCGCGUGCAGGAAGAAGGCGCUACGCGUUGUAAACUGCUUUUAACCGGGAAGAAACCCCAGGACGUGUCCUGGGUUGACGGUACCGGAGGAAUAAGCACCGGCUAACUUCGUGCCAGCAGCCGAGGUAAUACGAAGGGUGCAAGCGUUAUCCGGAUUCAUUGGGUUUAAAGGGUGCGUAGGCGGAGCGUUAAGUCAGUGGUGAAAUCCUGCAGCUUAACUGUAGACUUGCCAUUGAUACUGGCGCUCUUGAGUGCGCUUGAAGUGGGCGGAAUGUGCCGUGUAGCGGUGAAAUGCUUAGAUAUGGCACAGAACACCAAUUGCGAAGGCAGCUCACUAAGGCGAUACUGACGCUGAGGCACGAAAGCGUGGGGAUCGAACAGGAUUAGAAACCCUGGUAGUCC